AUCCAGCUGACAAUUCCCAAAUAGGAUGAAACGCGUGUCCUGCAU
Molecule: non-coding RNA, 45 nt
Filed under: Schistosoma mattheei
Lineage: Eukaryota; Metazoa; Platyhelminthes; Trematoda; Strigeidida; Schistosomatidae
Source: RNAcentral